GUCCCUUGACCCUUCUUAGUACACGCCUGAAUUUUUGGAAAUGCAGCCUGAGUGGGGGGCAGGCAGAGGAUAAAAGACGGCUGGAGCCAGAGCCAGAGCCACGGGGCAGGGCGGCACAGGGCACGAGGAAGAGCCACCACAGAGCCACCACAGAGACACCAUGCUCCCUGCAAGGACUGUCCUGCUGCUCACCCUGCUCCUCACCCUCUCCCUGCACCACGCCACAGCCCACUUUGCACCGGUGGAAUGCUGCUUUAAGUAUGCACAGAAACGCAUCCGGCACCCUCAAAGCUUCUACGAGACAUCCAAAGACUGCCCCAAACGUGCAGUUGUAAUUGUGGCUGCUAAUGGUGAUCAGAUCUGUGCUGACCCCGAGAAGGACUGGGUGAAUAAAACAAUAAAACGGCUUCAAAAGCAAAAAUUAAACCCAUCCACCAUCUGACUUGCCCAUCCAGUCUUCCUGUCUCUCAAGGGAGCCAAAGUGCUGGCAGCUCCUCUCCAGCAGCUGCUGUGGCCGUGGGCACUGUCCCUGCAGGCAGAGCCCCCCUGGACCCCGGCAGGACCAGGUGUCACCGUGCCAUGGACCUGCCAGAGCCCGAGCUGCUCCUGCUGCCCCGCCAAGAUGUGCUUGUGAAACAAAUAUUUAUAAUAAAGACCCAUUGCCAC
This 666-nucleotide long non-coding RNA is filed under the name Lonchura striata (white-rumped munia). Its description in RNAcentral is "domestica (Bengalese finch) lncRNA (ENSLSDG00000015769.1)". The record is from RNAcentral. Lineage: Eukaryota; Metazoa; Chordata; Aves; Passeriformes; Estrildidae.